Molecule: ribosomal RNA, 432 nt
Filed under: uncultured bacterium
Lineage: Bacteria
Description: bacterial SSU rRNA
Rfam family: Bacterial small subunit ribosomal RNA
Source: RNAcentral
UCAAGGGCGAGGGAGUGACUUAGUGGCGGACGGGUGAGUAAUGCGUGAGCAACCUGCCCUUCAGAGGGGGGACAACGGCUGGAAACGGCUGCUAAUACCGCAUAAAGUACAGAUGAGGCAUCUCGACUGUACCAAAGAUUUAUCGCUGAAGGAUGGGCUCACGUCUGAUUAGCUAGUUGGUGAGGUAAUGGCUCACCAAGGCUGCGAUCAGUAGCCGGACUGAGAGGUUGGCCGGCCACAUUGGGACUGAGAUACGGCCCAGACUCCUACGGGAGGCAGCAGUGGGGAAUAUUGGGCAAUGGGCGCAAGCCCUGACCCAGCAACGCCGCGUGAAGGAAGAAGGCUUUCGGGUUGUAAACUUCUUUUGGCAGGGACGAAGAAAGUGACGGUACCUGCAGAAUAAGCUCCGGCUAACUACGUGCCAGCCGCCGC